UUGCACAGUUUUACCGAUUGUCUAGCAUUCACACCAAGAAACUAACGCUAAAUAAAAUUUGUCAUGUUGUCAUGUCUCCAUAACGAAAUGCUGGUCCCGCCUUUCUACAUUUUUUGCACCAACACAUCCAAUGAACAUCUUUCGAUAAUUUUGAUCUAAAAUAGAUAGCCAAUGAAAAUUCGCCAAAUGUAAAAUUUCAUCUCAGGUUUAAACAUUUUCUCAUUUCCUAAAUGAUUGCUUCUGGUUACACGUCUACGACAAAAGUCCACAUUAAUGUGCAUGCUUGAAAAUGGAUCUCUGUAUAUAUCCAGGAAACAGAAUUUGCUUAGCUAGUUUUAUAAGUUCUUGCAAUGUUUUUCUGCAAUAAUACUUCACCUGUACAUGUAUACAACUGAAAAAGAUUACAAUGCAAAAGGAAAUUAUUAGACAGGAACAGUUUUAACAUCAGAAAGAAAAGGU
This 459-nucleotide long non-coding RNA is filed under the name Mytilus galloprovincialis (Mediterranean mussel). The record is from RNAcentral. Lineage: Eukaryota; Metazoa; Mollusca; Bivalvia; Mytilida; Mytilidae.